UCUCUAAGCAAUGGAUGUCUUGGCUCCUCACACGAUGAAGAACGUGCAUAAUGUGUUAAGUAACCGGAGUUGCAAACAUCAUGACAGGUUAAUCUUUGAAUGCAAAUUGCGCUAAACUCGAUCUCGGUCAGAAGCAUGGGUGGACAGUAC
This 150-nucleotide ribosomal RNA is filed under the name Trichomonas vaginalis G3. Its description in RNAcentral is "5.8S ribosomal RNA". It matches the Rfam family "5.8S ribosomal RNA". Rfam says of the family: 5.8S ribosomal RNA (5.8S rRNA) is a component of the large subunit of the eukaryotic ribosome. It is transcribed by RNA polymerase I as part of the 45S precursor that also contains 18S and 28S rRNA. Lineage: Eukaryota; Parabasalia; Trichomonadida; Trichomonadidae. The record is from RNAcentral.